UACGAAGGGGGCUAGCGUUGCUCGGAAUUACUGGGCGUAAAGGGAGCGUAGGCGGACAGUUUAGUCAGAGGUGAAAGCCCAGGGCUCAACCUUGGAAUUGCCUUUGAUACUGAUUGUCUUGAGUUUGGGAGAGGUGAGUGGAACUCCGAGUGUAGAGGUGAAAUUCGUAGAUAUUCGGAAGAACACCAGUGGCGAAGGCGACUCACUGGCCCAAUACUGACGCUGAGGCUCGAAAGCGUGGGGAGCAAACAGG
RNAcentral lists this ribosomal RNA (253 nucleotides) under uncultured bacterium. Its description in RNAcentral is "partial 16S ribosomal RNA". It matches the Rfam family "Bacterial small subunit ribosomal RNA", at positions 524 to 776 of the family's 1533-position model. The record is from RNAcentral.